GCCAUUGAUGCUUGCAGCUUCCUGCUAAAAUCCUACACUAAAGUGUUCUAGAAAUUCUAGAACACUAUACCUACACUUCGUCGUCAUCGCGUGCAUGUGUAGCGGUUCAUGUGAGCGUUUUAACGGGAAGUGUUAAUUCAUUUGUCAGCUCAAACAGCAUCAGAAGCGAUGCUUAAACUGACUCAGCCUCGUAUGGAACGAAUCGACCCUGCUGAGGAGAAGCAUCGGGCUCGGUCUGCCACGAUUAGCACAUUAUUCAAGUUCGGUCUUCUAGUUACACUAAUACGAGCAACGCCCUAUGUUAUCCACCAGCUCCGGAGCUAGGAAAACUAUCGCAAUGGCUGGUCUCGACGGAUGGCGCGA
Molecule: long non-coding RNA, 363 nt
Organism: Rhipicephalus sanguineus (brown dog tick)
Lineage: Eukaryota; Metazoa; Arthropoda; Arachnida; Ixodida; Ixodidae
Exons: 2
Source: RefSeq, a predicted model, not a curated record